CUCAACCUGCUAUGGGAGGCGACUUGGUUGCCGCCCGCGCCUUCCUCGUCAGACAGCGGCCGAGCCUCGCCCUGAACACUUGAUUCUGCUAUAGCUCCUGCCCUGCUCUCAUUCGGGCUAACUCAGAUACCGUGGGCUCGUUCUGGGUGCCUUACCUCUCCCCUCUCCACGCCCUGGACUCCCGUGACUGCCGUGAACCUGACGCUCCUGCGCCUCCCUCGUCUACCACAUCUACACCACUUCAAGGACGAAGCUGUGCUGCCUCGUCAUUGCCACUUAAAGGACGAGACGCCCCGAAGAGGAAGAAGUCGUGCAACAGGUCAUUGCUGAGUCCGGCGUGCUGAAGCCUUCUUGUCGGAGACUUCAGGUUGUGAGGCCUGUUUUGGGGUUUUCUUACUUUACUUAAAGUAAACUGGUCUAACCAUU
This is a long non-coding RNA of Eriocheir sinensis (Chinese mitten crab), 426 nucleotides long. RefSeq lists it as uncharacterized. The record is from RefSeq and is a predicted model, not a curated record. The transcript has 2 exons. NCBI's taxonomy places the organism in Eukaryota, Metazoa, Arthropoda, Malacostraca, Decapoda, Varunidae.